GUAGAGACAGGGUUUCACUGUGUUAGCCAGGAUGGUCUCAAUCUCUGGCCCAAGCUUUUUAAAAGUGAAAACGGUGGCCAAGCGCAGCGGCACACACCUGUAAUUCUAGCACUUCAGGAGGCCGAGAUAGAAGGAUCACUUGAGCCCAGGAAUUCGAGACCAGCCCUGAUGAUAUAAGUGGGGAAAGAGAGAGAGAGUUGCGCAUGCGCACGCUAGAGAGAAUGCCUGCCCCUCUCCAGCCUGGCCAACAGAAGGAGAUCCUGUCUCAAAAAAAGAAAGUGAAAAUGCUUCAGCUAGAAUUAUAGGAUAAUCCUGUGUGAGAUAACUUACAUAGUGACUGGAAGAGUUAUUAAAUAUUGCUUUCUUGUUGCUAAGUUCUGUAGUUGGGUUAGAUAUCCAAUGCAUAUCUAUUGUGAAAGUCAAAAGAUUCUAAUUUUUCCAGAAAAUAAUGUUGAGUUUCCAUGAAGAACAGGAAGUACUGCCAGAAACUUUCCUUGCUAAUUUCCCUUCUCUGAUAAAGAUGGACAUUCACAAAAAAGUAACUGACCCAAGUGUGGCCAAAAGCAUGAUGGCUUGCCUCCUGUCUUCACUGAAGGCUAAUGGCUCCCGGGGAGCUUUCUGUGAAGUCAGACCAGAUGAUAAAAGAAUUCUGGAAUUUUACAGCAAGUUAGGAUGUUUUGAAAUUGCCAAAAUGGAAGGAUUUCCAAAGGAUGUGGUUAUACUUGGUCGGAGCCUGUGACAUUUGUUGACACUGUGAACUGUCCAAAAGUCUCUUAACUGCACCUUGUGAGUGGUAGUUGAGGUCUUCAUACAGUUCAGCCUCUAGAGUGGUAACAAAUCAGCCAAUUGGAUUCGAAACAAAGAAGACUAUGUAAAACUCACCCAUCACACUUUCAGACUACUCACUGGUUGGAAGAAUAUAGUAUUGCAGCAAAUCCUGUAUGAAAGAGAGAUGUGGGCUUCCUUUUUGAGUCGUGUUAGGUGCUGAGACCUUUUACAUGGGCUUAUACAGGGAGAGAGUCUUCAAUAAAUGUAGUCAGCACUAUUUCCUGCAUCCAGUGUGGUUGUGUUUCUCACCUGAGAGUA
This 1086-nucleotide small RNA is filed under the name Pongo abelii (Sumatran orangutan). RNAcentral's name for it is "processed transcript". The record is from RNAcentral. Lineage: Eukaryota; Metazoa; Chordata; Mammalia; Primates; Hominidae.